This 444-nucleotide ribosomal RNA is filed under the name uncultured Parabacteroides sp. Its description in RNAcentral is "bacterial SSU rRNA". It matches the Rfam family "Bacterial small subunit ribosomal RNA", at positions 354 to 794 of the family's 1533-position model. The record is from RNAcentral. Lineage: Bacteria; Pseudomonadati; Bacteroidota; Bacteroidia; Bacteroidales; Tannerellaceae.
UGAGGGAAUAUUGGGUCAAUGGGCGGAAGCCUGAACCAGCCAAGUAGCGUGAGGGAUGACUGCCCUAUGGGUUGUAAACCUCUUUUAUAAGGGAAUAAAAUACGGGACGUGUCCUGUUUUGCAUGUACCUUAUGAAUAAGCAUCGGCUAACUCCGUGCCAGCAGCCGCGGUAAUACGGAGGAUGCGAGCGUUAUCCGGAUUUAUUGGGUUUAAAGGGUGCGUAGGCGGAUUAUUAAGUCAGCGGUGAAAGCGUGUGGCUCAACCAUACAGUUGCCGUUGAUACUGGUAGUCUUGAGUGUAAACGAGGUAGGCGGAAUGUGAUGUGUAGCGGUGAAAUGCUUAGAUAUGUCACAGAACCCCGAUUGCGAAGGCAGCUUACCAGGAUACGACUGACGCUGAGGCACGAAAGCGUGGGUAUCAAACAGGAUUAGAUACCCUGGUAGU